CUACGGGUUGCUGCAGUGGGGAAUAUUGGACAAUGGGGGAAACCCUGAUCCAGCAAUGCCGCGUGUGUGAAGAAGGCCUGCGGGUUGUAAAGCACUUUCGGUUGGGAGGGCUGCUUCUAGCACUAAUAUUGUUGGAAGUUGACGUUACCUUCAGAAGAAGCACCGGCUAACUCCGUGCCAGCAGCCGCGGUAAUACGGAGGGUGCAAGCGUUAAUCGGAAUUACUGGGCGUAAAGCGCGCGUAGGCGGCUAGAUCAGUCGGGUGUGAAAGCCCCGGGCUUAACCUGGGAACUGCAUCCGAUACUGUCGAGCUUGAGUACAGGAGAGGAGAGUGGAAUUCCACAUGUAGCGGUGAAAUGCGUAGAUAUGUGGAGGAACACCAAUGGCGAAGGCAGCUCUCUGGCCUGAUACUGACGCCGAGGUGCGAAAGCGUGGGGAGCAAACAGGAUUAGAUACCCUCGUAGUC
This 465-nucleotide ribosomal RNA is filed under the name uncultured bacterium. Its description in RNAcentral is "partial 16S ribosomal RNA". It matches the Rfam family "Bacterial small subunit ribosomal RNA", at positions 339 to 795 of the family's 1533-position model. The record is from RNAcentral.